AUACGUAGGGGGCGAGCGUUGUCCGGAAUGAUUGGGCGUAAAGGGCGCGUAGGCGGCGCGGUAAGUCUGGAGUGAAAGUCCUGCUUUCAAGGUGGGAAUUGCUUUGGAUACUGCCGCGCUUGAGUGCAGGAGAGGUUAUCGGAAUUCCCGGUGUAGCGGUGAAAUGCGUAGAGAUCGGGAGGAACACCAGUGGCGAAGGCGGGUAACUGGACUGCAACUGACGCUGAGGCGCGAAAGUGUGGGGAGCAAACAGGAUUAGAUACCCUGGCAGUCCACACUGUAAACGAUGAAUGCUAGGUGUAAGAGGUAUCGACCCCUUUUGUGCCGGAGUCAACACAAUAAGCAUUCCGCCUGGGGAGUACGGCCGCAAGGUUGAAACUCAAAUGAAUUGACGGGG
Molecule: ribosomal RNA, 397 nt
Filed under: uncultured bacterium
Lineage: Bacteria
Description: partial 16S ribosomal RNA
Rfam family: Bacterial small subunit ribosomal RNA
Source: RNAcentral